GAAAUGCGAUAAGUAAUGUGAAUUGCAGAAUUCAGUGAAUCAUCGAAUCUUUGAACGCACAUUGCGCCCGCCAGUAUUCUGGCGGGCAUGCCUGUCCGAGCGUCAUUUCAACCAUCAAGCCCCCGGGCUUGUGUUGGGGACCUGCGGCUGCCCGCAGGCCCUGAAAACCAGUGGCGGGCUCGCUGUCACACCGAGCGUAGUAGCAAUCACCUCGCUCAAGGCGUGCUGCGGGUUCCGGCCGAUAAACAGCCUUACAAAACCCAAGGUUGACCUCGGAUCAGGUAGGAAGACCCGCUGAACUUAAGC
RNAcentral lists this unclassified non-coding RNA (306 nucleotides) under plant metagenome. RNAcentral's name for it is "partial contains 5.8S ribosomal RNA, internal transcribed spacer 2, and large subunit ribosomal RNA". The stretch from base 1 to 105 matches the Rfam family "5.8S ribosomal RNA", at positions 50 to 154 of the family's 154-position model. The record is from RNAcentral.